UGGGGAAUCUUCCGCAAUGGGCGCAAGCCUGACGGAGCAACGCCGCGUGAGUGAAGAAGGGUUUCGACUCGUAAAGCUCUGUGAUCGGGGACGAACGGUCAGCAGACGAAUACUCUGCUGAAGUGACGGUACCCGAAUAGCAAGCCACGGCUAACUACGUGCCAGCAGCCGCGGUAAUACGUAGGUGGCAAGCGUUGUCCGGAAUUAUUGGGCGUAAAGCGCGCGCAGGCGGCUUCUUAAGUCCAUCUUAAAAGUGCGGGGCUUAACCCCGUGAUGGGAUGGAAACUGAGAGGCUGGAGUAUCGGAGAGGAAAGUGGAAUUCCUAGUGUAGCGGUGAAAUGCGUAGAGAUUAGGAAGAACA
This 361-nucleotide ribosomal RNA is filed under the name uncultured Dialister sp. RNAcentral describes it as "bacterial SSU rRNA". It matches the Rfam family "Bacterial small subunit ribosomal RNA", at positions 355 to 708 of the family's 1533-position model. The record is from RNAcentral. Lineage: Bacteria; Bacillati; Bacillota; Negativicutes; Veillonellales; Veillonellaceae.